UUGACCUCAACNUCAGGUAGGA
Molecule: ribosomal RNA, 22 nt
Filed under: Gymnopus collybioides
Lineage: Eukaryota; Fungi; Basidiomycota; Agaricomycetes; Agaricales; Omphalotaceae
Description: partial large subunit ribosomal RNA
Source: RNAcentral